GUUUGAUCCUGGCUCAGGAUGAACGCUGGCGGCGUGCCUAACACAUGCAAGUCGAACGAAGAUGCAUUUCAGAUCCCUUCGGGGUGACGAGAUGCAGACUUAGUGGCGGACGGGUGAGUAAUGUAUGAGCAACCUGCCUUCAAGAGGGGAAUAACAGUCGGAAACGACUGCUAAUACCGCAUAACAAAGCGUAGUCGCAUGACAAUGCUUUCAAAGGAGCAAUCCGCUUGAAGAUGGGCUCAUAUCUGAUUAGAUAGUUGGUGAGGUAACGGCUCACCAAGUCUGCGAUCAGUAGCCGGACUGAGAGGUUGAACGGCCACAUUGGAACUGAGAUACGGUCCAGACUCCUACGGGAGGCAGCAGUGGGGAAUAUUGGGCAAUGGGCGAAAGCCUGACCCAGCAACGCCGCGUGAAGGAAGAAGGUCUUCGGAUUGUAAACUUUUGUCUUAUGGGACGAUAAUGACGGUACCAUAGGAGGAAGCCACGACUAACUACGUGCCAGCAGUCGCGGUAAUACGUAGGUGGCGAGCGUUAUCCGGAAUUAUUGGGUGUAAAGGGUGCGUAGGCGGGUCGUAAAGUCAGAUGUGAAAUGCGGAGGCUCAACCUCCGAACUGCAUUUGAAACUUACG
This 629-nucleotide ribosomal RNA is filed under the name uncultured bacterium. Its description in RNAcentral is "bacterial SSU rRNA". It matches the Rfam family "Bacterial small subunit ribosomal RNA", at positions 11 to 638 of the family's 1533-position model. The record is from RNAcentral.